Molecule: unclassified non-coding RNA, 343 nt
Filed under: soil metagenome
Description: partial contains 5.8S ribosomal RNA, internal transcribed spacer 2, and large subunit ribosomal RNA
Rfam family: 5.8S ribosomal RNA (bases 1-120)
Source: RNAcentral
GAUGAAGAACGUAGCGAAAUGCGAUAAGUAGUGUGAAUUGCAGAAUUCAGUGAAUCAUCGAAUCUUUGAACGCAUAUUGCGCCUUCCGGCAUUCCGGAAGGCAUGCCUGUUCGAGCGUCAUUUCAACCCUCGACCUCCCCUUGGGGAGGUCGGCGUUGGGGACCGGCAGCACACCGCCGGCCCUGAAAUGGAGUGGCGGCCCGUCCGCGGCGACCUCUGCGCAGUAAUACAGCUCGCACCGGGACCCCGACGCGGCCACGCCGUAAAACACCCAACUUCUGAACGUUGACCUCGAAUCAGGUAGGACUACCCGCUGAACUUAAGCAUAUCAAUAAGCGGAGGA